RNAcentral lists this ribosomal RNA (72 nucleotides) under Staphylococcus aureus. RNAcentral describes it as "partial 23S ribosomal RNA". The record is from RNAcentral. Lineage: Bacteria; Bacillati; Bacillota; Bacilli; Caryophanales; Staphylococcaceae.
UUUAUAGGAUCGAGGUGGAAGCAUGGUGACAUGUGUAGCUGACGACGACUAAUCCAGCGAAGACAUAAUCAA